This 315-nucleotide ribosomal RNA is filed under the name uncultured eukaryote. Its description in RNAcentral is "partial 18S ribosomal RNA". It matches the Rfam family "Eukaryotic small subunit ribosomal RNA", at positions 1470 to 1796 of the family's 1831-position model. The record is from RNAcentral.
CCCUUAGAUGUUCUGGGCCGCACGCGCGCUACACUGAAGCGUUCAACGAGUAUUCACCUUGCCCGGGAGGGUUGGGUAAUCUUUUGAAAACGCUUCGUGAUGGGGAUAGAUUAUUGCAAUUAUUAAUCUUCAACGAGGAAUUCCUAGUAAGCGCGAGUCAUCAGCUCGUGCUGAUUACGUCCCUGCCCUUUGUACACACCGCCCGUCGCACCUACCGAUUGAAUGGUCCGGUGAAGCCUCCGGAUUGGCGCGCACCUCGGUGCCGCCGAGAAGUUGGCUAAACCUUACCAUUUAGAGGAAGGUGAAGUCGUAACA